Molecule: long non-coding RNA, 1012 nt
Organism: Etheostoma spectabile (orangethroat darter)
Lineage: Eukaryota; Metazoa; Chordata; Actinopteri; Perciformes; Percidae
Exons: 2
Source: RefSeq, a predicted model, not a curated record
GAGACAGGUGAUCAUAACUAUAGGGCCAUUCUUCAGAUGGUCUUGAACACAAGGCAUGAUAUAAAGUUGUGACUUAAAUGUCACACAGUCACCUGGAGGGUAGACCGAACAUAUCCAAAAAAGGGCCAGAAUUGUUUUUUUCAAGGUAUCUUAACAUGUGUGGUAGUUGUAAUUGUUAUCAUAGCUACAAGUAUGAAUGAGUUCUCCCAGAGUUUGAAACCAAAAUGUACAACUACAAUGACCUGUACAUCACAAUGAAUCACGUAAAAGAAAGGAUUAAAGAUUAUUUUGACAGACCUAAAAUAAUGCCUGUGUAUUAUCCUUCUAAGGUGGACUUCAGAUAUCAACACAAUACGAGUCUUCGCAAUGCAAACGCGGCAGGCAGAAGAAACCAGAUUACAAACUGCCCUGCUAAGAUGACUGUGACACUCCUACGCACUCAAUUGAGCAGAGGCAGGCAGAGUCUAAGCAAGGACCCUGAUGUUCUGUGCCUUUCUUCCCCACAAUCGUGUCAAUCUGCAAUGACCACAAUCAUAACAUCUAUAUAGAUGUUAUGGUUACAUAUGUGGCAUCUGCACUCAGCCAACGUGAUGGGGAUGACAGUAAAAGAAUAAAAGACAAUCCGUCAAAGAUCACGACAGUCUUACAUAUGUUUGGCUGCUCAAAAAACACCAGCUUGGCAUCUGUUAAGAUCUGGAGCCAUCCGUAGGGCAGCAAAGCAUGUUGGUCCUGCUAUUCAUGCACAGCCAACAGCAGUGGUGAGACGUGCUGCCAAGGUAACAACAGGACCUGGCCACGUUUACAGCCAGCCAGUCAAGAGGGUCUGAACACAAGCUCCCUAUUAUCCGGCACACUCUGGGUCGGAGCGCAAAAGCCACCCGAAAUGAAAAAAUGAACGGCCGAUCUGUCAUCUUUCAAACACACACACACACACACACACACACACACACACACACACACACAUUUUAGCUGUCCUCUGUAUUAGGCUUCUUUAUUAAACACUUUUAGUGUG